AAACACCAGGUUUUUGUCCCCUCGCUUACCUGUAAGUACAGUGGCCUUGUUGGGAGGCCCUCAGGAGUCUUUCCUCACCUGCAAGGUACUCCCAUGGCAGUCUUCCCUUCCCCAGAUCCCCUUGUUUCUUUCCCCAUUCAAUCCAUAAUCCUUGUGCCUGGGAGUACAUGGGUUUUCCGCCAGGUUUUCAGGAGCCCAGUGGGUGGUGUGCUGAUCCAAAGCUCUCCUGACCCACCAGAAUCCUGGGCUCCUGGCACAUGGCUGGGCUGGUGCCCCACCCCUCCACACACCCAAGAUCCAGACCCACUGAAGUUCUCCAGGCCUGGUCCUCCAGCACACCAGGGCAGCAUGCUGACCUGGGGCGCUCUCCUCGUCCAGGACGAAGCACAUGAAGGAAUCUCCAGGUUCACUCCGUCUGCAUAGAGAUAUAAAAGAUGCUGAUACACCAGCGAGGGAUCUUUAUCAAGAAGAUGGUUUUUCAGAGCCAGAAUGAGGAGGAGGAAUGUAUCCCCUUCAAGUUUGUUACUCAGCAGCAUGGGCAGGUCCUGCGGUGCGGUGAGGGCUAACAGGCCUGCACAGGCUUCCUGAUCUUUCUUCAUGCUGAUGGCAUUCAUCACCUGGCCAAAUUCGUAGGCAUUGUUAGGCCUGGAGACCUGAAGUGUUGCUGCGUCUUCCAGAGGCCCACUGCUCUCCUUCCCGGUCCCGGCAGCCAGGCCGUCAGCACGGACGUCCUCCACCGUUCCCGGAGGCUCCUUGUCACUGCACUCCUCCACCUCCAGAAACAAGGAACACGGUGUCACACACAAUGCCACUCACCACGUGCCCCAGGAGGCUAUUUCAGCCAGUCUGUAGGUGAAAAAAACUGCCCUCAUUGUAAAAACUAAUUUCUUGAGGACCUGUAUUUGGGUUAAGAACCUAGUUCAUAAGCAUAUUCCUCUGUAAAGUUUUUUUUUUAAAUGGACAUUGACAUGAUUUUAUCCUUAGAACUUUUCACAUAAAACUAUUACAUGAAAUAAAGACCUCUGAAAAUA
Molecule: long non-coding RNA, 1031 nt
Organism: Ochotona curzoniae (black-lipped pika)
Lineage: Eukaryota; Metazoa; Chordata; Mammalia; Lagomorpha; Ochotonidae
Exons: 2
Source: RefSeq, a predicted model, not a curated record